UGGGGAAUCUUCCGCAAUGGGCGCAAGCCUGACGGAGCGAUGUCGCGUGAGGGAUGAAGGCCUUCGGGUUGUAAACCUCUUUUGUUAGGGAGUAAGGAAAUUCGGUUAAUAACCGAAUGAUUGAUAGUACCUAAAGAAUAAGUACCGGCUAACCCCGUGCCAGCAGCUGCGGUAAUACGGGGGGUACAAGCGUUGAUCGGAUUGACUGGGCGUAAAGGGAGCGUAGGCGGUUUGAAAAGUCAGAUGCGAAAUCCUGGGGCUUAACCCCAGAACUGUAUUUGAAACUUUCAGACUAGAGGGUGGUUGGGGAAAACGGAAUUCUGCAUGUAGCGGUGAAAUGCGUAGAUAUGCAGAGGAACACCGGUGGCGAAGGCGGUUUUCUGUGCCAUACCUGACGCUGAGGCUCGAAAGCAUGGGGAGCAAACAGG
RNAcentral lists this ribosomal RNA (428 nucleotides) under uncultured bacterium. RNAcentral describes it as "bacterial SSU rRNA". It matches the Rfam family "Bacterial small subunit ribosomal RNA", at positions 355 to 776 of the family's 1533-position model. The record is from RNAcentral.